UGAACCCUGGGAUGAACCCUGGGAUGAAGCCUGGGAUGAACCCUGGGAGGACCCUUAACCCUGGCUGCAUGUCUGGGGACGGACUUCCGCCAAAGCCCCUCCCUCAGUUAUACAGCGAGGGUGUUGUGGAGCGUGUGACUGCAGCAGGUUCCGGAAUCCGGUGUCCAGUGUCCGGUAAACGGUAAACGCACCACGAGUUGUCCCCCAGGCAGAACGAGGCCCCAGAAGAAAGCUCUUUUAAUCUCUGAACUCUGACCUUGUGACCAUAUGCGACGGCAGCCGUCUUACAUUGUCUUUCCUUAUAAUACAUAGUUUUUUGUUUAUG
Esox lucius (northern pike) is the source of this 325-nucleotide long non-coding RNA. RefSeq lists it as uncharacterized. The record is from RefSeq and is a predicted model, not a curated record. The transcript is spliced from 3 exons. Lineage: Eukaryota; Metazoa; Chordata; Actinopteri; Esociformes; Esocidae.